Molecule: small nucleolar RNA, 125 nt
Organism: Perognathus longimembris pacificus (Pacific pocket mouse)
Lineage: Eukaryota; Metazoa; Chordata; Mammalia; Rodentia; Heteromyidae
Product: small nucleolar RNA SNORA38
Exons: 1
Source: RefSeq, a predicted model, not a curated record
UCCUCCUACAAAGGCAUGUCUUCUAUUCCCUGUCAUUGGACAUGUAAUAAUUGAAGAAAUGUGAAAUUGGAGAAAUUUAGGGCCAGUUUGUCCUCUGCAGGCUCAAGAUCAACUAUAUUUCAUAG